GGGCGUUUGGCAGAACGAUGAUGCACCGGACUUUUAAUCUGGAUGAAGUAGGUUUGACUCCUACAGCGCCCCCCA
This 75-nucleotide transfer RNA is filed under the name Desertifilum sp. SIO1I2. RNAcentral's name for it is "tRNA-Lys". It matches the Rfam family "tRNA". From Rfam's summary of the family: Transfer RNA (tRNA) molecules are approximately 80 nucleotides in length. Their secondary structure includes four short double-helical elements and three loops (D, anti-codon, and T loops). Further hydrogen bonds mediate the characteristic L-shaped molecular structure. tRNAs have two regions of fundamental functional importance: the anti-codon, which is responsible for specific mRNA codon recognition, and the 3' end, to which the tRNAs corresponding amino acid is attached (by aminoacyl-tRNA synthetases). tRNAs cope with the degeneracy of the genetic code in two manners: having more than one tRNA (with a specific anti-codon) for a particular amino acid; and 'wobble' base-pairing, i.e. permitting non-standard base-pairing at the 3rd anti-codon position. Lineage: Bacteria; Bacillati; Cyanobacteriota; Cyanophyceae; Desertifilales; Desertifilaceae. The record is from RNAcentral.